AUUGAACGCUGGCGGCAGGCUUAACACAUGCAAGUCGAGUGGAGAUGAGGUGCUUGCACCUUAUCUUAGCGGCGGACGGGUGAGUAAUGCUUAGGAAUCUGCCUAUUAGUGGGGGACAACAUUCCGAAAGGAAUGCUAAUACCGCAUACGUCCUACGGGAGAAAGCAGGGGAUCUUCGGACCUUGCGCUAAUAGAUGAGCCUAAGUCGGAUUAGCUAGUUGGUGGGGUAAAGGCCUACCAAGGCGACGAUCUGUAGCGGGUCUGAGAGGAUGAUCCGCCACACUGGGACUGAGACACGGCCCAGACUCCGACGGGAGGCAGCAGUGGGGAAUAUUGGACAAUGGGGGGAACCCUGAUCCAGCCAUGCCGCGUGUGUGAAGAAGGCCUUAUGGUUGUAAAGCACUUUAAGCGAGGAGGAGGCUACUGAGACUAAUACUCUUGGAUAGUGGACGUUACUCACAGAAUAAGCACCGGCUAACUCUGUGCCAGCCGCCGCCGUAA
RNAcentral lists this ribosomal RNA (501 nucleotides) under uncultured bacterium. RNAcentral describes it as "partial 16S ribosomal RNA". It matches the Rfam family "Bacterial small subunit ribosomal RNA", at positions 30 to 523 of the family's 1533-position model. The record is from RNAcentral.